GAUGAACGCUGGCGGCGUGCCUAAUACAUGCAAGUCGAGCGAACAGACGAGGAGCUUGCUCCUCUGACGUUAGCGGCGGACGGGUGAGUAACACGUGGAUAACCUACCUAUAAUACUGGGAUAACUUCGGGAAACCGGAGCUAAUACCGGAUAAUAUAUUGAACCGCAUGGUUCAAUAGUGAAAGACGGUUUUGCUGUCACUUAUAGAUGGAUCCGCGCUGCAUUAGCUAGUUGGUAAGGUAACGGCUUACCAAGGCAACGAUGCGUAGCCGACCUGAGAGGGUGAUCGGCCACACUGGAACUGAGACACGGUCCAGACUCCUACGGGAGGCAGCAGUAGGGAAUCUUCCGCAAUGGGCGAAAGCCUGACGGAGCAACGCCGCGUGAGUGAUGAAGGUCUUCGGAUCGUAAAACUCUGUUAUUAGGGAAGAACAAAUGUGUAAGUAACUAUGCACGUCUUGACGGUACCUAAUCAGAAAGCCACGGCUAACUACGUG
This 497-nucleotide ribosomal RNA is filed under the name uncultured bacterium. RNAcentral's name for it is "partial 16S ribosomal RNA". It matches the Rfam family "Bacterial small subunit ribosomal RNA", at positions 28 to 507 of the family's 1533-position model. The record is from RNAcentral.